UAAUUUACUCCAUGCUUCAGAGCCACUCCUGGAUCUCACAGCAGAGCACUGUUUGGCAAUAAUUUAUUGUCAUGGUUUGUAUCACAGUGAUUAAGGGGAGCUGUCAUUUCUUGGCAGCCAUGAUUUGAAUUUUGGGAUUAGCUGCCCAGGGGACAGUUUGGAACUGACACUGAUGUGUUUAUUUUUGCUUCCUUGUGUAGAAGUUGUAAUUUAAUUUGCUCCUGUUGGAACAGCAGGUGCUUUGGGUGGAAGUCGUAUGGGUAUGACUGUAUGUAAUGAUUGGUGACACUAGUGUUACCAGUUUCCAGUGCUGGCUUUUUUAGAGUGUGGGGAGAUAGGCUUAAUUACACGAAUGUCCUGUUUCAUUGGUCUCUGUCCGUGCAAGAUACAAUUGUAUUCACACUUACUAGUAGCAAUCUUUCACAUUAAUACUAGUACUAGAUUAGUGCUGAUGUGACUGUGAAUUUGUUUAAUUCCAUACAAAUGCAUCACCUGUUAAUGCUGAAUUAUACAUUGGUUGUCUAGCAGUGAGAAAGGUCAAAGAGUUUGAAAGGCUCUCCCUGGUUGUUUUUUUUGUUUCUUGGGGAUUUUUAAAGCAUCUCUAACUUUUAUUUUUUAAAAUUUCAAUUUAAAGAUAGCAGAGACAUUUAUUCUUUUUUCUUUCAGAAAAUCAGUGUAGUGUAACUCUCUGUUUUGGACCCAUUCCAUGUAAAUGAAUAUCAGCCUUCAUAAAUAACUUCUCACCUAGGUUUUCCUGUGUUUGGGGGAGUUGUACAGCAAAUGACUGCACUGAAAGUGUAAAAUCCAUUUCCUGGUUUGGCUUGGGGGGGUGUUUGUCUGGGUUUUUUUUGGUGCUUUUUAAUCUUGUAAUAAGGAUUUUAUUAUUAUUUUCCUGUGUUUAGGUAAUUCCUUCUGCUGGCCUUUGUAUGUGGACCACAUUCAGUCCUGUUCAGCCCAUAUAAAUUGUAACUUAAAUGUAGAUAUGACUGGUUCAAGUUCUUCACAAGAAUCUUCUGAAACAAACUUCUGUUGUAUGAAAGUGAAGGCUGAGACAGCAAACAGUAAGCUUUUAGAAGAAGCAUACCCAAACUGAAAGUUGCAAAUUAAAGAUUAAGUAUUUCUAACAGCAUCUGUUUUAGACUUCUGUACUUUCUCAGCUGCUUUAUUUUCCCAUUAUGACUUGGACUUUAAGUCAGCAAUUUAUCCAUCAAAACAAACUGUCUAGUUCAUGAACAAACUGUCUAGCUUACAAAGGAGCUGGAGCCAAUUCCCACUAGAGCCAGUGGAAGAGUUUUCAUUGAGUUCAGUGGAUUUGGUAUCUGGCAACCUUUGUUGUGAAUAAAAGAGAACCAAAAUUUGUGACA
RNAcentral lists this long non-coding RNA (1364 nucleotides) under Cyanistes caeruleus (blue tit). RNAcentral describes it as "lncRNA (ENSCCEG00000019161.1)". The record is from RNAcentral. Lineage: Eukaryota; Metazoa; Chordata; Aves; Passeriformes; Paridae.